GGUUGCGAUCAUACCAGCACUAAUGCACCGGAUCCCAUCAGAACUCCGCAGCUAAGCGUGCUUGGGCGGAGAGCAGUACUAGGAUGGGUGACCCCCUGGGAAGUCCUCGUGUUGCAACCC
This 120-nucleotide ribosomal RNA is filed under the name Helianthus annuus (common sunflower). The record is from RNAcentral. Lineage: Eukaryota; Viridiplantae; Streptophyta; Magnoliopsida; Asterales; Asteraceae.